CCUUCACUGUGACUCUGCUGCAG
RNAcentral lists this microRNA (23 nucleotides) under Homo sapiens (human). Its description in RNAcentral is "hsa-miR-6837-3p". The record is from miRBase by way of RNAcentral. Lineage: Eukaryota; Metazoa; Chordata; Mammalia; Primates; Hominidae.